GAUUCUCUCUCUAUUUGACGGUAGGAUUCUCUCUCUAUUUGACGGUAGGAUUCUCUCUCUCUAUUUGACGGUAGGAUUCUCUCUCUAUUUGACGGAUUCUCUCUCUCUAUUUGACGGUAGGAUUCUCUCUCUCUAUUUGACGGUAGGAUUCUCUCUCUCUAUUUGACGGUAGGAUUCUCUCUCUCUAUUUGACGGUAGGAUUCUCUCUCUCUAUUUGACGGUAGGAUUCUCUCUCUCUAUUUGACGGUAGGAUUCUCUCUCUCUAUUUGACGGUAGGAUUCUCUCUCUAUUUGAUGGUAGAAUUCUCUCUAUUUGACGGUAGGAUUCUCUCUCUCUAUUUGACGGUAGGAUUCUCUCUAUUUGACGGUAGGAUUCUCUCUAUUUGACGGUAGGAUUCUCU
Oncorhynchus tshawytscha (Chinook salmon) is the source of this 400-nucleotide long non-coding RNA. NCBI's taxonomy places the organism in Eukaryota, Metazoa, Chordata, Actinopteri, Salmoniformes, Salmonidae. The record is from Ensembl.